GACGGAGGGGGCUAGCGUUGUUCGGAAUUACUGGGCGUAAAGCGCGCGUAGGCGGCGCAUUAAGUCAGAGGUGAAAGCCCGGGGCUCAACCCCGGAAUUGCCUUUGAGACUGGUGUGCUUGAGUACGGAAGAGGUGAGUGGAAUUCCCAGUGUAGAGGUGAAAUUCGGUAGAUACUGGGAAGAACACCGAGUGGCAAGGCGGCUCACUGGUCCGUAACUGACGCUGAGGUGCGAAAGCGUGGGGAGCAAACAGGAUUAGAUACCCGCGUAGUCC
RNAcentral lists this ribosomal RNA (274 nucleotides) under uncultured bacterium. Its description in RNAcentral is "partial 16S ribosomal RNA". It matches the Rfam family "Bacterial small subunit ribosomal RNA", at positions 524 to 796 of the family's 1533-position model. The record is from RNAcentral.